UACGUAGGGUGCAAGCGUUGUCCGGAAUUAUUGGGCGUAAAGAGCUCGUAGGCGGUUUGUUGCGUCGGCUGUGAAAUCCCGAGGCUCAACCUCGGGUCUGCAGUCGAUACGAGCAAACUAGAGUGUUGCAGGGGAGACUGGAAUUCCUGGUGUAGCGGUGAAAUGCGCAGAUAUCAGGAGGAACACCGGUGGCGAAGGCGGGUCUCUGGGCAACAACUGACGCCGAGGAGCGAAAGCGUGGGGAGCGAACAGG
This 253-nucleotide ribosomal RNA is filed under the name uncultured bacterium. RNAcentral describes it as "partial 16S ribosomal RNA". It matches the Rfam family "Bacterial small subunit ribosomal RNA", at positions 524 to 776 of the family's 1533-position model. The record is from RNAcentral.